UAUAUGUGUAGGUAUAUACAUAUAUAUUCCUAAAUAUAUAAAUGCAGUCCACUGUUUGCAUAAUGUUACUUGUAUGUAUGUUUUCAGGGAUGAUCAUUAGAUAAUGAAUUGGUGUGCUCUUCCCUGGGGAAGUCUAUUUCUCCUGCUCUCAUCAUUCCUUAGUGGCCUGUAGUUAUAUGUGUAGGACUGAAGUCUCUUGGGCUUUCCCCUUCCACAUUAGCAUGUCUAUUGCUGUUGUCCUUGUUCAUCUCAUUUUUGAGAUAGUCAUGGAGGAGAGAUUUUAUGAGGGUAGCUUAGGAAAUUCCUAUGAGCCACAACCAGCAAACUCCUUGAUCUUCCAGAUAUUACAAUCUUUCUACCCCCUCUUCCAAAAUUAUUCCUCAGUCUUAGGUAUUGGAUUGUGUUGUAGAUGUAUUAACUAGGACUAGGCUUCGUAGCACUACAUUUUGAUUGGUUGUGGUUUUCUGUAAUGGACUCUAUCUGCUGCAAAGAGAAGUUUUCUUGAUGGGGGGGGGAGGCUGCACUUAUCUGUGGAUAUAAGGACAGAUAUUUAGAAUGAGGGAUUAUACUGGUUUAGUAAAGUGGUGGUUGUAGUUUGACUUAAAGUUCUAUUGCUGUGAAGAGAAACCAUGACCACGGCAACUCUUAUAAAGAGCCUACUCACAGUAGAACACUUCCUCCAACAAUCCAUGCCUACUGACGAACCUGCUUGACUCCAUUUUGAAGCACCAUGCCUGCUUACCUGUUGCCAUGCUUCCCACCAUGACGUUCCUGGACUCAUCCUCUGAAACUGUUCUUAGUCUGGGCAUGGAUACCCACAUAUCUACAUCACAAGAAUCUGGAAACUGCUUAUGUCCUUAAGAAUGCACCGGUUUUCAGCUCCCCUUCCUCACACAACUACCCCUCUCCCCGUAUUUGUGGGAGGGGAAGCCUUCUUUGUUCAUCAAUGACAUUGUAUGUGUUGUGUGCAGCUGCCCCUCUGCAUUCUUCACUCCUGUGAGACCCACUGAGAACAAGGAGACAAGUGCUCUUCAGACAUCAAAAGGAAACCAAAAGUGAGCGAGGAUGAAAUUGAGGCCAAAAGGUUAAGAGAGGAAAGAUGUCCUCGUUCUUUUUCUGGGCUAGUACAUGGUGGUUUCUGUUGGAGUGAGCAAUUACAGAUCUCUGAUGGGCCAGGUCUCUGUACUUCUGCCCCAGGCCUUGAUAAUUUGGUCCUCAGAGCAGCUGUCCUCGAAUUUUUUCUAUUUCUUCUUUAUACUCUAGGUCAAAAAGUCUUAGGUAAAGACUUCUAUUUUCUGUAAUAAAUACCCAAUUUCAAACAGCUGCUGUGAGAGUGCUGAGCCAAAAGAAAAUGUUUCUUAGACUUGCCCCUAUUCCUUUAGAAUCAGUCAAUAAAAGGUGAAUCUAGUCUAAAAAUCGUAGAUCAAAUGGACAGACCCCAUGGCACAUAUGCUUGUCCGUACA
Long non-coding RNA from Peromyscus eremicus (cactus mouse), 1464 nucleotides. RefSeq lists it as uncharacterized. NCBI's taxonomy places the organism in Eukaryota, Metazoa, Chordata, Mammalia, Rodentia, Cricetidae. The record is from RefSeq and is a predicted model, not a curated record. The transcript is spliced from 3 exons.